CAGUCGAACGGGAUCUUCGGAUUCUAGUGGCGGACGGGUGAGUAACGCGUAAGAAUCUAACUUCAGGACGGGGACAACAGUUGGAAACGACUGCUAAUACCCGAUAUGCCGCGAGGUGAAACCUAAUUGGCCUGAAGAAGAGCUUGCGUCUGAUUAGCUAGUUGGUGGGGUAAGAGCCUACCAAGGCGACGAUCAGUAGCUGGUCUGAGAGGAUGAGCAGCCACACUGGGACUGAGACACGGCCCAGACUCCUACGGGAGGCAGCAGUGGGGAAUUUUCCGCAAUGGGCGAAAGCCUGACGGAGCAACGCCGCGUGAGGGAGGAAGGUCUUUGGAUUGUAAACCUCUUUUCUCAAGGAAGAAGUUCUGACGGUACUUGAGGAAUCAGCCUCGGCUAACUCCGUGCCAGCAGCCGCGGUAAUACGGGGGAGGCAAGCGUUAUCCGGAAUUAUUGGGCGUAAAGCGUCCGCAGGUGGUCAGCCAAGUCUGCCGUCAAAUCAGGUUGCUUAACGACCUAAAGGCGGUGGAAACUGGCAGACUAGAGAGCAGUAGGGGUAGCAGGAAUUCCCAGUGUAGCGGUGAAAUGCGUAGAGAUUGGGAAGAACAUCGGUGGCGAAAGCGUGCUACUGGGCUGUAUCUGACACUCAGGGACGAAAGCUAGGGGAGCGAAAGGGAUUAGAUACCCCUGUAGUCCUAGCCGUAAACGAUGGAUACUAGGCGUGGCUUGUAUCGACCCGAGCCGUGCCGAAGCUAACGCGUUAAGUAUCCCGCCUGGGGAGUACGCACGCAAGUGUGAAACUCAAAGGAAUUGACGG
RNAcentral lists this ribosomal RNA (814 nucleotides) under uncultured bacterium. Its description in RNAcentral is "bacterial SSU rRNA". It matches the Rfam family "Bacterial small subunit ribosomal RNA", at positions 59 to 916 of the family's 1533-position model. The record is from RNAcentral.